This 441-nucleotide ribosomal RNA is filed under the name uncultured bacterium. RNAcentral's name for it is "partial 16S ribosomal RNA". It matches the Rfam family "Bacterial small subunit ribosomal RNA", at positions 28 to 507 of the family's 1533-position model. The record is from RNAcentral.
GAUGAACGCUGGCGGCGUGCCUAAUACAUGCAAGUCGAACGGGGAGUAGCAAUACUCUUAGUGUCGAACGGGUGAGUAACGCGUUGGUACCUGCCCCGAAGCGGGGGAUAACGGACCGAAAGGGCCGCUAAUACCCCAUGUGCUCGGUAACGAGUAAAGGUGAAAACCACUUUGGGAGGGGCAUGCGUCCCAUCAGCUAGUUGGUAAGGUAACGGCUUACCAAGGCGAUGACGGGUAGGGGACCUGAGAGGGUGGCCCCCCACAAUGGAACUGAAACACGGUCCAUACACCUACGGGUGGCAGCCGUAGGGAAUAUUGGUAACGGGCGCCAGCCUGAACCAGCAACGCCGCGUGUGCGAUGACGGCCUUCGGGUUGUAAAGCACUUUUGACUGGGACGAGGAAGGACGGUACCGGUCGAAUCAGCCUCGGCUAACUACGUG